GAUGGAAGAACGUAGCGAAAUGCGAUACGUAAUGUGAAUUGCAGAAUUCAGUGAAUCAUCGAAUCUUUGAACGCAUAUUGCGCUCUCUGGUAUUCCGGAGAGCAUGCUUGUUUGAGUAUCAGUAAACACCUCAACUUCCAUAUCUUUUUUGAAAUGGGAGUUGGACUUGAGUGAUCCCAACGCUUUUCCUCACCGAAAAGUGGCGGGUUACUUGAAAUGCAGGUGCAGCUGGACUUUUCUCUGAGCUAUAAGCAUAUCUAUUUAGUCUGCCUAAAAAACAGAUUAUUACCUUUGCUGCAGCUAACAUAAAGGAGAUUAGUUCUUGUGCUGACUGAUGCAGGAUUCACAAAGACAGGCUUCGGCCGACUUUGUAAACUCGAUCUCAAAUCAAGUAAGACUACCCGCUGAACUUAAGCAUAUCAAUAAGCGGAGGA
This 434-nucleotide unclassified non-coding RNA is filed under the name soil metagenome. RNAcentral's name for it is "partial contains 5.8S ribosomal RNA, internal transcribed spacer 2, and large subunit ribosomal RNA". The stretch from base 5 to 121 matches the Rfam family "5.8S ribosomal RNA", at positions 38 to 154 of the family's 154-position model. The record is from RNAcentral.